This 446-nucleotide ribosomal RNA is filed under the name uncultured bacterium. RNAcentral's name for it is "partial 16S ribosomal RNA". It matches the Rfam family "Bacterial small subunit ribosomal RNA", at positions 338 to 795 of the family's 1533-position model. The record is from RNAcentral.
CCUACGGGUGGCAGCAGUCGAGAAUCAUUCACAAUGGGGGAAACCCUGAUGGUGCGACGCCGCGUGGGUGAUUGAAGGCUUUCGGUCUGUAAACCCCUGUCAUGUGGGAGCAAAUACAUAAGAUUGUAUCAUCAGAGGAUGAGACGGCGUACUUUGGGCCAGCAGCCGCGGUAAUACCGAGGUCGCACGCGUUGUCCGCAAUCUCUGGGCGUAAAGCGUGCUCAGGCGGUUUAGGAAGUCGUGUGUGAAAGGCGAGGGCUCAACCCGCGGCCGGCACCUGCUACUGGGAGACUAGAGUGAGGAAGAGGGAAGCGGAAUUCGCGGUGUAGCAGUGAAAUGCGUAGAUAUCGGGAGGAACACUCGUGGCGAAGGCGGGUUCCUGGACAUUAACUGACGCUGAGGCACGAAGGCCAGGGGAGCGAAAGGGAUUAGAUACCCUAGUAGUC